GGGCGCGCCCCGGGCGGGGCGGGGGCACGGGGGGAACCGUCGACAGUCAGGUAACGAGCGAGACCCACGCCAACAGUUGCUAGCUCGUCCUCCGGGAUGGAGAGGACACUGUUGGGACCGCCUCUGCUAAAGAGGAGGAAGGAAUGGGCAACGGUAGGUCAGCAUGCCCCGAAUUAACUGGGCUACACGCGGGCUACAAUGGGUGGGACAAUGGGUAUCGACACCGAAGGGUGAAGGCAAUCUCCUAAACCCAUCCUUAGUUCGGAUUGUGGGCUGCAACUCGCCCACAUGAAGCUGGAAUCCGUAGUAAUCGUAUCUCAAUAUGGUACGGUGAAUAUGUCCCUGCUCCUUGCACGAAUUCGCCG
This 365-nucleotide ribosomal RNA is filed under the name uncultured Methanomicrobiales archaeon. RNAcentral describes it as "bacterial SSU rRNA". It matches the Rfam family "Archaeal small subunit ribosomal RNA", at positions 988 to 1352 of the family's 1478-position model. Lineage: Archaea; Methanobacteriati; Methanobacteriota; Methanomicrobia; Methanomicrobiales. The record is from RNAcentral.